UACGUAGGUGGCAAGCGUUGUCCGGAUUUACUGGGUGUAAAGGGCGUGUAGCCGGGCUGACAAGUCAGAUGUGAAAUCCGGGGGCUCAACCCCCGAACUGCAUUUGAAACUGUUGGUCUUGAGUAUCGGAGAGGCAGGCGGAAUUCCUAGUGUGGCGGUGAAAUGCGUAGAUAUUAGGAGGAACACCAGUGGCGAAGGCGGCCUGCUGGACGACAACUGACGCUGAAGCACGAAGGCGUGGGUAUCGAACAGG
This 253-nucleotide ribosomal RNA is filed under the name uncultured bacterium. RNAcentral's name for it is "partial 16S ribosomal RNA". It matches the Rfam family "Bacterial small subunit ribosomal RNA", at positions 524 to 776 of the family's 1533-position model. The record is from RNAcentral.